This is a non-coding RNA of Triticum aestivum (bread wheat), 135 nucleotides long. The record is from Rfam. Lineage: Eukaryota; Viridiplantae; Streptophyta; Magnoliopsida; Poales; Poaceae.
CUAGUACUUCCUCCAUCCCAAAAUUCUUGUUUUAGAUUUGCCUAGAUACGGAUGUAUCUAAUAUUAAAAGGUGACUUGAUACAUCCGUAUUCAAACAAAUCUGAGACAAGAAUUUUGACACGAAGGGAGUACGAA